GGCCUGAGUACGCCUGAUCUCGUCUGAUCUCGGAAGCUAAGCAGGGUCGGGCCUGGUUAGUACUUGGAUGGGAGACUUCCUGGGAAUACCAGGUGAUGUAAGCU
Oncorhynchus tshawytscha (Chinook salmon) is the source of this 104-nucleotide ribosomal RNA. The record is from Ensembl. NCBI's taxonomy places the organism in Eukaryota, Metazoa, Chordata, Actinopteri, Salmoniformes, Salmonidae.